ACGUGAGUUAGUGGGCGGUGGUGGAAGAUCCAGCCUAAAAGGAUGAGACGUGGAGGUUUCUCAUUGGAACUGGUCAAAGUAAAAUAGUCUUCCGUACAAUUUAAUGAUUUUAUACACACAUUUAUUCCUUUAUUUAAUUCUGCAAGAAAUUUGUAUUCAGGUCGGGCGAGAAACCGCGUCUUUUGAAAAGUUCGGUUUUAUGGUUAGAGAUAGGGAGCAGCACUUUGUACAGUUACAUACGUGUGAGAUUAAUACUUGUAUUUGUAUAUCUGGGUGCCCAUCAUGUCCCCUCCCUAACAUAGUUUUUACUUUUUGAUAAAACAAGUAAGAUUUCGUAAGCAUUUUUUUUAAUCAAGGGACCGUAGAUAAUUAACAAUGAUAGUUGAACAGAACACCUUCCUUCUUUCUUUUUUUUUUCUUUUCAUCAGUUAUAUUUUUUUGCAAUGUAUUUAGAACUAGUAUGGAUCAUCUCGGACCCUUCACGCUCUCUGGAUGAAAGAUGAGCUCAAAUCCAUCACAAUGUCACAACACCUCUUGCUGCUGAAGUCCUAGUGAUGCGAGCAGCCCUCCAAGCAGCAGCCUUGCUAAAUGUGACCCACCUUCGGAUUUUCUCCGAUAACCAAACCCUGAUCAGGGCCAUCAACGUCAAACUCUUCGAAGAAAAGAAGAUCUACGGUAUCGUGAAGGAUAUCGAAGCAACUUUCCUUCUGUUUAUCGAUCUUUCUUUCUUUUUUCUUCCAAAGGGUGAGAAUUGACAGAUUGAUGCUUUAACCAAAUCCAUUCUCAGAAACCCAAAUUACGUAACUUGCUAAAUUCUUUCUACUUUUUUUAACGAAUUAUCGUUGAACAAAAAAAAAAAAGGAUCACAAACAAAGUCAAGUUAAAAAUCAAAAUAGAUUUAAAGCAUUGAAAAACAAAUUUUUAACGUAUAAACUUAAGAACUGGAAAAUAUUUAGAGCUAAAGCUGAAUAAAACUGUAUGUUGAACAGAACACUUCAACUUGAUAUGAUAGCCGAUAAAUAAAUAUAAAAAAAAAAUUGUGUAAAAAAAUCAUAUAAAAAAGAUAGAAUUUGGUUGAUGAUAGUAGUUUCUUGAUGGGCUUAUAGUGUUGGGCCCUUAGUGGAAAUAAGAAAGAAAAAAAACCCAACAUUGUGAGAAAACACUUAAAAGUUAGUUUCACCACUUCACUCGUAGAUGCUACGGCGGCGGCGGCGGCACCACCACAUCUCCGGAGAAGGCUACAAUGGGAAUUGAUUUGAUCGCAGGAGGUAAGAGCAAGAAGACGAAAAGGACAGCUCCAAAGUCCGAAGAUGUCUACCUCAAGCUUACCGUCAAGGUCCAACCCUUAAACAAACGAAUCUUUUGUCUUAUUUUUGAGUGAAAUCUUGUUUGACAUUUUGUGUAAUGAAAAAAAUUGCAGCUUUAUAGGUUUCUA
Long non-coding RNA from Brassica rapa (field mustard), 1435 nucleotides. RefSeq lists it as uncharacterized. The record is from RefSeq and is a predicted model, not a curated record. NCBI's taxonomy places the organism in Eukaryota, Viridiplantae, Streptophyta, Magnoliopsida, Brassicales, Brassicaceae.